This 1006-nucleotide long non-coding RNA is filed under the name Monodelphis domestica (gray short-tailed opossum). RNAcentral's name for it is "lncRNA (ENSMODG00000037602.1)". The record is from RNAcentral. Lineage: Eukaryota; Metazoa; Chordata; Mammalia; Didelphimorphia; Didelphidae.
AAUAAGGGACCUAUCAUCUGACACUUGAGAGUACAUAUAUGAACAUUCACCUUUUGAACCCCUAGACCUUUCUGGCCCAAAAGAGUACCUUCCUUCUGACUUUUGAUUAUUUCCUCCAGGCCAUGGUCUAAGGGACUAUUGAGAAAUUAUCCUCUUCCUGAACCAACUUCAUCCACCAUUGCAUGCAUCUCACAAAUGAGGCAUUUGUCAGAGACCCCUUGGAGAGUGAUAAUAUUUAAUAAAUUUGGUCCUUGAAGCAAGAGGUCGAAGGCCAAAAUGUAGAUUUCAAAGAAAACCUUAAGAAUUGAAGUAAUACAAAAACUUAAUGAGCUGCCUCAGGAAAUGAGAGAUCAUCAAGCAAGAGUCAAAGGAUGAUCUUAGGAAUAGUUAAUCAUUCAUAGAAAUUCCCUAAUCUUCAGCAAUCUAUUUUAUGUUCCUUCUAAUACCAUCAAGUAUUACCAUAUAAAGCAUCAGAGAAACCUAAAUGAGUUCUUAUUGAAGGAAAGAAUGAAUAAAGGAUCAUGAUGACAAGUAUAACUUCACCAGUCUCCUUUGUCACAGAAAAGUUUCUUAUGGGGAGUUAUGGAAAAGGAGGAGUUGGAGCUACUGCAAAGAGGAGCUGCUGCAAAGAGCAAGGUUCCAGAAUUCUGGGGUUGUGAGAGCUUGGCUUUUGACUGGAAACAGUUGAAGACAAGGGUGAUAAGUGAGUCUAGCUCCUUCGGUGGACCUCGUGAGUUGGACUAGUCUCCCUCUCUUGUGACUGCAUGCCUUAUCCAAUGGCUGGUCCCUGUGUCCCUUUGAGUGUAUCUUGUGGCUGAUAGAGAGUGAUUUCCAACAGAGCUGCUCAAGACAUCCAAGUGCCAACUGUCAGUGAGAACUCUUUCCUCUUGGCCUGGUCCUGCGACCGUCAAUUCCUUACCAUCUUUAAAUAUCAACUAAGGGGGAUAUUUAUUUUAAGAUACUUUAAUGGAAACAGUGUAUCAAUAAAGGGCAGUUAAUAUUUCCA